UCCCUCUGGAUUCCUUACUCCUUGGAUCUAAAUAUUGGUCUGAGUGUCUUCACAAAAAGAAGGGAAAGUAAAACUGAAAUGGACUUGGAGGCUAUUGUGACAAACAAAUUCAUGUCAAACAUAU
Echinops telfairi (small Madagascar hedgehog) is the source of this 124-nucleotide small nucleolar RNA. The record is from Ensembl. NCBI's taxonomy places the organism in Eukaryota, Metazoa, Chordata, Mammalia, Afrosoricida, Tenrecidae.